UUUACUGUUGUGUAUAUUUGGUACGGUGGGGUUGUUCUAUGUGUGAGAAUUUAUAUAGUCUGAAUUUCUAUAAGUCCUCCCCUUCAUCUUCAGCCUUUUUUUGUUUUGCCAUAAGCAAACCUGAAGAAAUUUGUGGAAAAAAGUAUUAACCAUAUAAAAAAUGUGGAUUUCUUAUUUCAUACCAUGGUUUGAUUUUCAUUGGUCUCUGCUGCUCGUUGUUGUGAAAAUUUUAAUAUACUCGCAAGUGCACGAAUCUAGAGAUAGAAAAGUGGUAACGAGGUCGAUCCCACAGGGAUUGUUAUAAAUUGAAAAGUCUAAUUUAAAUCUAAAAUUAAUAUUAAUUCUAACCUAGUUGAGCAAAUUGAGUUUUAAGAGAAAUUAAACUAAUUAAACUAAAGAAGCAAUUAAAAUAAAGGAGAAUUCAAUAAGAUAAGAAUUACCAAGGUUUCAGAAUCCACCACUAUUCAACUAGUAAUUAUCUAAUUAUUAAUUAAUCCCCAAUUUUAGAGUGACAACUCGAAAUCAAUCUAUGUCAUCUCAUGGAUAUAACAAUUAAGCCCAAGUAAUUAAAUCUAAUGUAGGUUCUUUUUCUGCUUAAUAAUAUGACAUCUAAGAAUCUCAUGUAAACAUAUUGAAUAAUAAAGAGUCAAAGUUUCCUAAGCACUCCAUGUAAACAAUUUAAUGAAAGACAUAAAAUCAAAGAUAAUCAUGUAUAAACUUUAUAGAUCCAAGCAUAGAAUUAAUCGAAUAUUAAUCCUAACAAUCAAUAAUGCAUGACAGAAUUGAUGAAAAGAUUUUAUUAACAUCCAAUUAAUCAUGUGAAAUAAAAACCAUAAUCAUCAAAGAACAUAUAUAGGGAAUUAAUUAAAUAAAAAGAUAAUUAUUUUAUUGAAUAGGGUUUCAUCCUUAACCUCAGUGUAAGAAAAUUAGCUAGACAUACUUGAAUUGAGAGCAAUAAAAGAAAUAAAAUCAGCCAUGGGAAGCCGAAAUAUUGCUGCUGCGGAUUGCUCUCUUCCAAAGCCGAAUUCUCCUCCACUGGCG
This 1041-nucleotide long non-coding RNA is filed under the name Citrus x clementina. Its description in RNAcentral is "Citrus clementina (C. clementina) long non-coding RNA (CCLE_LNC000143)". Lineage: Eukaryota; Viridiplantae; Streptophyta; Magnoliopsida; Sapindales; Rutaceae. The record is from RNAcentral.